Long non-coding RNA from Numida meleagris (helmeted guineafowl), 353 nucleotides. RefSeq lists it as uncharacterized. The transcript has 4 exons. Lineage: Eukaryota; Metazoa; Chordata; Aves; Galliformes; Numididae. The record is from RefSeq and is a predicted model, not a curated record.
AGGUCCUGGGUUCUUCAGGAUGACAUCUGCUUAGACCAAGAUCAAUGUGUUACCAACUCACUACCAGAGUCAAAAGAAGAUUUUGCUCUGAGACAGGAUGCGUGUACAUCACUGCAACUACUUUUCAAUUGGUGUAGAAGCAAAUAUUCCUUUUGAGAAAGGCACACGUUUCUCCAUGGUUGGAAGAUCACACUUUUGUGUAAUAGUGUUCCUUCAGCGAGCAAUUUGUAGCAAAUUUGUCAUCUGUGCAAAUGCUGGGAACAUUGACUUUUACUUGGGAUGUAUUCAAUUUCAACAGCAGAAAUGCUAAGUCAUGGCCUGAAACAGUGAUGGAGCACCUGGUGGGAAGGCAG